ACGUUAGCGGCGGACGGSUGAGUAACACGUGGAUAACCUACCUAUAAGACUGGGAUAACUUCSGGAAACCGGAGCUAAUACCGGAUAACAUAUUGAACCGCAUGGUUCAAUAGUGAAAGGCGGCUUUGCUGUCACUUAUAGAUGGAUCCGCGCCGUAUUAGCUAGUUGGUAAGGUAACGGCUUACCAAGGCAACGAUACGUAGCCGACCUGAGAGGGUGAUCGGCCACACUGGAACUGAGACACGGUCCAGACUCCUACGGGAGGCAGCAGUAGGGAAUCUUCCGCAAUGGGCGAAAGCCUGACGGAGCAACGCCGCGUGAGUGAUGAAGGUCUUCGGAUCGUAAAACUCUGUUAUCAGGGAAGAACAAAUGUGUAAGUAACUGUGYWYAUCUUGACGGUACCUGAUCAGAAAGCCACGGCUAACUACGUGCCAGCAGCCGCGGUAAUACGUAGGUGGCAAGCGUUAUCCGGAAUUAUUGGGCGUAAAGCGCGCGUAGGCGGUUUUUUAAGUCUGAUGUGAAAGCCCACGGCUCAACCGUGGAGGGUCAUUGGAACUGGAAAACUUGAGUGCAGAAGAGGAAAGUGGAAUUCCAUGUGUAGCGGUGAAAUGCGCAGAGAUAUGGAGGAACACCAGUGGCGAAGGCGACUUUCUGGUCUGUAACUGACGCUGAUGUGCGAAAGCGUGGGGAUCAAACAGGAUUAGAUACCCUGGUAGUCCACGCCGUAACGAUGAGUGCUAAGUGUUAGGGGGUUUCCGCCCCUUAGUGCUGCAGCUAACGCAUUAAGCACUCGCUGGGGAGUACGACGCA
Molecule: ribosomal RNA, 810 nt
Filed under: Staphylococcus pasteuri
Lineage: Bacteria; Bacillati; Bacillota; Bacilli; Caryophanales; Staphylococcaceae
Description: bacterial SSU rRNA
Rfam family: Bacterial small subunit ribosomal RNA
Source: RNAcentral